UACGUAGGGUGCGAGCGUUGUCCGGAAUUAUUGGGCGUAAAGGGCUCGUAGGCGGUUUGUCGCGUCGGGAGUGAAAACUCAGGGCUUAACCCUGAGCCUGCUUCCGAUACGGGCAGACUAGAGGUAUGCAGGGGAGAACGGAAUUCCUGGUGUAGCGGUGAAAUGCGCAGAUAUCAGGAGGAACACCGGUGGCGAAGGCGGCUCUCUGGGCCUUACCUGACGCUGAGGAACGAAAGCGUGGGUAGCGAACAGG
This 253-nucleotide ribosomal RNA is filed under the name uncultured bacterium. RNAcentral's name for it is "partial 16S ribosomal RNA". It matches the Rfam family "Bacterial small subunit ribosomal RNA", at positions 524 to 776 of the family's 1533-position model. The record is from RNAcentral.